Molecule: ribosomal RNA, 326 nt
Filed under: uncultured eukaryote
Lineage: Eukaryota
Description: partial 18S ribosomal RNA
Rfam family: Eukaryotic small subunit ribosomal RNA
Source: RNAcentral
CCCCUAGAUGUUCUGGGCCGCACGCGCGCUACACUGAACAGUUCAACAAGCCUAGCCUUGACCGAGAGGUCCGGGUAAUCUUUGAAACUGCAUCGUGAUGGGGCUAGAUUAUUGCAAUUAUUAAUCUUCAACGAGGAAUGCCUAGUAAGCGUGAUUCAUCAAAUCGCGUUGAUUACGUCCCUGCCCUUUGUACACACCGCCCGUCGCUCCUACCGAUUGAAUGUGUUGGUGAGGAGCUCGGAUUGGCAGCAGUUGGUGGUUCGCCACCGGCUAUUGCUGAGAAGUCCUCCAAACCGCCCCAUUUAGAGGAAGGAGAAGUCGUAACA